Homo sapiens (human) is the source of this 767-nucleotide long non-coding RNA. Ensembl annotates it as RBPMS antisense RNA 1. Its record names the gene RBPMS-AS1. NCBI's taxonomy places the organism in Eukaryota, Metazoa, Chordata, Mammalia, Primates, Hominidae. The record is from Ensembl.
AGGGGAGGAAGGAAGAAGGAAGGAAGGAAGGAAGCAAAGGAUGGGGCGAGGACGCGCGUCCCAGGAGCAGAGCUGGGGGUCCGUACGGAGGAACUUCAGAGGCUGGAAGCACGCUUGAAAAAGAAAGGGGGCCUGGGCUUUGCACCAGCUUCAGGAUUGCGUACUUGUUUCCUCAUCCGUGAAAUGGGAGCAGCUGAAUGUGUCUCCUCGAGUUUUCGAGAAAAAUGAGGGUCUCACUUUGUUGCUCAGGCUGAGCUCGAGCUCCUGGCCUCAAGUGAUCCUCCUGCUUUUGGCCUCCCAAACUGAUGGGAUUACAACGUGGAGCCACCGUGUUAAACUCUUAGAUUUGACUGCUACAAAGGUAUAAAUGUGGAACUCCAUAUAUCAGUGGGUUCUGCCCCACUUCUUCCUCCCAGGAAUUCUCCAUCCCAGCCUGCUGCUCCUGUCUUGCACCGGUAACAGUUUCCAACUACAGUAUUUGCUUAACUGUUUCUCCCCACCCCCACCAGACAUUCUUUAUACUUGGUUUAAGUGCUGCUGGGGAUAGGGCGGGGGUGGCUGUGGGAGUUGCAGAUAAGGACCCUCCCUUUAGGGAGUUUAAAGUGGUAUGGUGGCUCACACUUGGAAUCUCAGCACUUAAGGAGAUAGAGGAAAGAGGAUUGCUUGAGCCCAGGAGUUCAAGACCUGCCUGGGCAACAUAGUGAGACUCUGUUCUCCACAGAGGGGAAAAAAAGAAAAGACAAAAAAAUAAAGUGGUAUGGAGCCAA